RNAcentral lists this ribosomal RNA (365 nucleotides) under Diplocysta sp. S148. RNAcentral describes it as "eukaryotic LSU rRNA". It matches the Rfam family "Eukaryotic large subunit ribosomal RNA", at positions 666 to 976 of the family's 3401-position model. Lineage: Eukaryota; Metazoa; Arthropoda; Insecta; Hemiptera; Tingidae. The record is from RNAcentral.
CCAAGGAGUUUAGCGUGCUCGCGAGUCAUUGGGUGUUACAAAACCUAAAGGCGAAAUGAAAGUAAAGAGCUGUCAUUUGACUCUCGAGGGAGGAUGAGCUACUGCUCUGGUCGUUCUAACCGACGACUGAGCGUGUCUCCGCACUCCCGGGGCGAUUCUUUCUCAUUGCGAGUGGAGGCGCACCAAGAGCGAGCACGCUGAAACCCGAAAGAUGGUGAACUAUGCCUGGCCAGGACGAAGCCAGGGGAAACCCUGGUGGAGGUCCGCAGCGAUUCUGACGUGCAAAUCGAUCGUCGGAGCUGGGUAUAGGGGCGAAAGACCAAUCGAACCAUCUAGUAGCUGGUUCCCUCUGAAGUUUCCCUCAG